Molecule: long non-coding RNA, 1056 nt
Filed under: Oreochromis niloticus (Nile tilapia)
Lineage: Eukaryota; Metazoa; Chordata; Actinopteri; Cichliformes; Cichlidae
Description: lncRNA (ENSONIG00000037605.1)
Source: RNAcentral
AUGGACAACAACACAGCUAGGAGCAAUCCAGACAAUGUCAGGAGUCAUUCCACUCCUGCAAAUGAUCUUAGGCCACUGCUAGAGGAAUUGCUGAAUAAUGUUACACAUGAGCAGUGGCAACAGUUGCGGUCUGAUUACGCCGAAAAUGCCACCAUAGGAAGGCUGUGUAAUUUUGUAGAUAAUGCCAUUGCCCUAUACUCACUGUCGGCAGGUGAAGAAAUGAGGUUUUGCCAGGACACUACUGUCACUAGCACAACAACAGUGGCCUCACAGGAGACCGAGACAGCUCCUGAACUUGCACAGACCUCUAACACAGUUGACCACAACACAGAAAUGCCAGCUGAUAUUUCACAGAAAAUAACAGUCAACUUGCACAGCACAACAGAAAAUUCCCCUGGUACCAGACUUACCACUAAUAUCCAAAAUAUCAAUAAUGUCAAGGUUAUUCAAUUUAACAUCUUUAACAAGAACUUCAGUUUCAUACAAAAAAAAAGAAAAACAACUGUCAUGCCCAAUACUCCAAUAGACAAGAAAGACCGUGAUGACUCUCAGGCUGUAGACAAAGCAGGAACCUCUUUGGAAAAGGAUGUAACCCCAAAGAAAUCCUCUGCUCAACAUGAAGCCAGCACUGAUAUGUUCAACAUCACAGAAAAUAGCAGAAAAGCACUGGCCUUAAAGGACACAGAGACAGUGCCAGAACUUACACAGACCUCAGAGGAUAAUGCAUGGCUGACAGAUCUUAUUCAGGAUGUGAUUUCACAGCUUCCUGGGACAUCAACGUCCAACCCUUCUGAUUCUCUCCAAAAAUGUCUUUUGGAUUCAAUCAGGGCUGAACUCCAGGGAACAGAUUUACCCUCAGAAAUCCAGGAACAUUGCGACAGAAUCGCUAGAGCCAUUUCCACUGAUCUUUGUAAUCGAUUCAUUGUAUCUGGUGAAGAGGAUGUAAUGGCUUUAAUGAAUUUACAUGAGCCAGGGACUGACACAGUUGCCUUAGUUUUCAAAAAACACAUUUUGGCAGUGAAGAAUGAAUUGUAUCAAAACACUCAUACACUGUAA